UAACAGGUAGUAGCUCUGGUAGAG
Molecule: non-coding RNA, 24 nt
Filed under: Arabidopsis thaliana (thale cress)
Lineage: Eukaryota; Viridiplantae; Streptophyta; Magnoliopsida; Brassicales; Brassicaceae
Source: RNAcentral